This 106-nucleotide small RNA is filed under the name Hafnia paralvei. Its description in RNAcentral is "t44 RNA". It matches the Rfam family "t44 RNA", at positions 14 to 95 of the family's 95-position model. Rfam says of the family: This family consists of a number of bacterial RNA genes of between 135 and 170 bases in length. The record is from RNAcentral. Lineage: Bacteria; Pseudomonadati; Pseudomonadota; Gammaproteobacteria; Enterobacterales; Hafniaceae.
CGACAACAACACACACAUAUCGGCACGUGCGCCGGGGUGCCUUGCAGGAUACGUCUUCGGACAAAUGCCUUGCUGGGUCGGCUCAUGGGAUAUGUGGAGGCUUAAC